This 555-nucleotide ribosomal RNA is filed under the name fungal sp. 2638 YZ-2011. Its description in RNAcentral is "eukaryotic LSU rRNA". The stretch from base 188 to 341 matches the Rfam family "5.8S ribosomal RNA". Lineage: Eukaryota; Fungi. The record is from RNAcentral.
CAUUACCGAGUGCGGGUUCCAACGAGCCCAACCUCCCACCCGUGUUUACCAUGACCGCGUUGCCUCGGCGGGCCCACUGGGGCCUGGCCCCGGUCGCCGGGGGGCUUCUGCCCCCGGGUCCGCGCCCGCCGAAGCGCCCUGGAACCCUGUCUGAAUAGUGAGUCUGAGUCUAUGAUUAAAUCAUUAAAACUUUCAACAACGGAUCUCUUGGUUCCGGCAUCGAUGAAGAACGCAGCGAAAUGCGAUAAGUAAUGUGAAUUGCAGAAUUCCGUGAAUCAUCGAAUCUUUGAACGCACAUUGCGCCCCCUGGCAUUCCGGGGGGCAUGCCUGUCCGAGCGUCAUUUCUGCCCUCCAGCCCGGCUGGGUGUUGGGUGUUGUCCCCCCGGGGACACGCCCCAAAGGCAGUGGCGGCGCCGCGUCGGGUCCUCGAGCGUAUGGGGCUUUGUCACCCGCUCGGGACGGACUCGUCGGCGCUGGUCUUCCUCCAGGCGACCCUUCGGGGCCCGUCUACCUUCGGUUGACCUCGGAUCAGGUAGGGUUACCCGCUGAACUUAA